AAAGAGGCCCAAGCGACUGUUUACUAAAAACACAGGUCUCUGCUAACUCGAAAGAGGAUGUAUAGGGACUGAAGUCUGAUCAGUGCUGGAAGGUUAAGGGGAGGGCUGCAAGGCUCAAACCGAAGCCCCAGUUAACAUCGGCUCUAACUAUAAGAGUCCUAAGGUAGCGAAAUUCCUUGUCGGGUAAGUUCCGACCCGCAUGAAAGACGCAACGACUUGGGCACUGUCUCAACGAGGGACUCGGUGAAAUUGUAUUAUCGGUGCAGAUACCGAUUAUCUGCGGCAGGACGGAAAGACCCCGGGACCUUUACUGUAGUCUGGUAUUGGGUCUUGACGUAAUCUAUAUAGCAUAGGUGGGAGGCUGAGAAGGGAAGGCGCUAGCUUUCCUGGAGCCGCCAGUGGAAUACCACCUUGGUUACCUUGAGGUUCUAACCCGCAUCCGUUAUCCGGAUGGGGGACAGUGCUUGAUGGGCAGUUUGACUGGGGCGGUUGCCUCCUAAAAAGUAACGGAGGCGUCCAAAGGUUCCCUCAGCGCGUAUAGAAAUCGCGUGGAGAGUAUAAAGGCAUAAGGGAGCUUAACUGCGAGAGAGACAUCUCGAGCAGGUGCGAAAGCAGGGCUUAGUGAUCCUGCGGUCCCGUGUGAGAGGGCCGUGGCUUAACGGCUAAAAGGUACCCCGGGGAUAACAGGCUUAUCUCCUCCGAGAGUUCCUAUCGACGAGGAGGUUUGGCACCUCGAUGUCGGCUCGUCGCAUCCUGGGGCGGUAGCCCGUCCCAAGGGUUAGUCUGUUCGCCUAUUAAAGCGGCACGCGAGCUGGGUUUAAACCGUCGUAAGACAGGUUGGUCCUUAUCCGCCGUAGACGUAAGAGAUUUGAGGGGAGCUGUCCCUAGUACGAGAGGACCGGGAUGGACAGACCUCUGGUGUACCAGUUGUCACGUCAGUGGCAUCGCUGGGUAGCUAUGUCUGGACGGGAUAACCGCUGAAAGCAUCUAAGCGGGAAGCCCACCCCAAGACUAGAUCUCUCACUCACGCAAGUGAGGUAAGGCUCCUGGGAGACUACCAGGUUGAUAGGCCAGUGGUGUAAGCACGGUAACGUGUUCAGCCUACUGGUACUAAUAAGCCGAGGGUUUGACUUU
This 1134-nucleotide ribosomal RNA is filed under the name marine sediment metagenome. RNAcentral's name for it is "bacterial LSU rRNA". It matches the Rfam family "Bacterial large subunit ribosomal RNA", at positions 1783 to 2925 of the family's 2925-position model. The record is from RNAcentral.